CUCAUCUUCUCACAUACAGGGAACACCUUGCCACCCGGUUUUGUUAUCGAUGUUGUCCCUCAGUUUCUGGCUCUGCUCUGUUUUUAUGAACUAGAAAAUCUGAGAGGUCUUUCAAAAAUGCAGAUCACCUUUGAAGAUUUGAAAGAUGCCUUAGGAAAACAGCCCACAGGUCAAGAUGAAUGGAUAAAUACAAAUGGGCUUGGACCUGCAGUGGAAUAUUACUCAGUUUUCAAAAGGAGAUUUUGACCCGUGCUAGAACAUUUAAGAGCCUUGGAGACAUUCUGUUGAUUUAAACACAAAAGGACUACUAUUUUCUGGUUCUGCAUAUCUGAGGUUUCUAGAAUAGCCCAUUCAUGGAGACAGAGAGUAGAAUGGUGGUCCCUGUGGGGCAAGCGGUGGUGGGAGGGGGAGUUUCUGUUUAGCGAGUACAAAGGUUCAAUGGUAAGAAAAUUCUGGAGGUGACUUCAUGGCGGUGUUGGCCAACGUUGUAAUGCCAAUCAACUGUAUAACAAAAUGGUUAAAAUGGUGGA
Molecule: long non-coding RNA, 530 nt
Organism: Hyaena hyaena (striped hyena)
Lineage: Eukaryota; Metazoa; Chordata; Mammalia; Carnivora; Hyaenidae
Exons: 2
Source: RefSeq, a predicted model, not a curated record